Molecule: ribosomal RNA, 492 nt
Filed under: uncultured bacterium
Lineage: Bacteria
Description: partial 16S ribosomal RNA
Rfam family: Bacterial small subunit ribosomal RNA
Source: RNAcentral
GAUGAACGCUAGCUAUAGGCUUAACACAUGCAAGUCGAGGGGAAACGGCAUUAUGUGCUUGCACAUUUUGGACGUCGACCGGCGCACGGGUGAGUAUCGCGUAUCCAACCUGCCCUUUACUUGGGGAUACCCCGUUGAAAGACGGCCUAAUACCCGAUGUAAUUCAUUGAUGGCAUCAGAUAUGAAUAAAAGAUUUAUCGGUAAAGGAUGGGGAUGCGUCUGAUUAGCUUGUUGGUGAGGUAACGGCUCACCAAGGCGACGAUCAGUAGGGGUUCUGAGAGGAAGGUCCCCCACAUUGGAAACUAGACACCGGCCAAAAGACUACGGGAGGCAGCAGUGAGGAAUAUUGGUCAAUGGGCGCAAGCCUGAACCAGCCAAGUAGCGUGCAGGAAGACGGCCCUAUGGGUUGUAAACUGCUUUUAUACGAGAAUAAUUUGAUGCACGUGUGCGUUAUUGCAUGUAUCGUAUGAAUAAGGACCGGCUAAUUCCGUG